UACGGAGGUUGCAAGCGUUGUUCGGAAUGACUGGGCGUAAAGGGAGCGCAGGCGGCGUGUUAAGUCCGGCGUGAAAGCCCGGGGCUCAACCCCGGCGGGUCGCCGGAUACUGGCACGCUCGAGUACGGAAGAGGCGAGUGGAAUUCCAGGUGUAGCGGUGAAAUGCGUAGAUAUCUGGAGGAACACCGGUGGCGAAAGCGGCUCGCUGGUCCGAUACUGACGCUCAGGCUCGAAAGCGUGGGGAGCAAAC
Molecule: ribosomal RNA, 250 nt
Filed under: uncultured archaeon
Lineage: Archaea
Description: partial 16S ribosomal RNA
Rfam family: Bacterial small subunit ribosomal RNA
Source: RNAcentral